GAGUGAAAUAGAACCUGAAACCGUGUACGUACAAGCAGUGGAAGCCCACUUGUUGGGUGACUGCGUACCUUUUGUAUAAUGGGUCAGCGACUUACUUUUAGUAGCAAGGUUAACCGUAUAGGGGAGCCGUAGGGAAACCGAGUCUUAACUGGGCGAAUAGUUGCUAGGAGUAGACCCGAAACCCGGUGAUCUAGCCAUGAGCAGGUUGAAGGUUGAGUAACAUCAACUGGAGGACCGAACC
RNAcentral lists this ribosomal RNA (241 nucleotides) under Klebsiella pneumoniae. RNAcentral's name for it is "partial 23S ribosomal RNA". It matches the Rfam family "Bacterial large subunit ribosomal RNA", at positions 536 to 780 of the family's 2925-position model. The record is from RNAcentral. Lineage: Bacteria; Pseudomonadati; Pseudomonadota; Gammaproteobacteria; Enterobacterales; Enterobacteriaceae.